GAUGAACGCUGGCGGCGUGCCUAAUACAUGCAAGUCGAGCGAACAGACGAGGAGCUUGCUCCUCUGACGUUAGCGGCGGACGGGUGAGUAACACGUGGAUAACCUACCUAUAAGACUGGGAUAACUUCGGGAAACCGGAGCUAAUACCGGAUAAUAUAUUGAACCGCAUGGUUCAAUAGUGAAAGACGGUUUUGCUGUCACUUAUAGAUGGAUCCGCGCCGCAUUAGCUAGUUGGUAAGGUAACGGCUUACCAAGGCAACGAUGCGUAGCCGACCUGAGAGGGGGAUCGGCCACACUGGAACUGAGACACGGUCCAGACUCCUACGGGAGGCAGCAGUAGGGAAUCUUCCGCAAUGGGAGAAAGCCUGACGGAGCAACGCCGGGGGAGUGAGGAAGGUCUUCGGAUCGUAAAACUCUGUUAUUAGGGAAGAAAAAAUGUGUAAGUAACUAUGCACGUCUUGACGGUACCUAAUCAGAAAGCCACGGCUAACUACGUG
RNAcentral lists this ribosomal RNA (497 nucleotides) under uncultured bacterium. RNAcentral describes it as "partial 16S ribosomal RNA". It matches the Rfam family "Bacterial small subunit ribosomal RNA", at positions 28 to 507 of the family's 1533-position model. The record is from RNAcentral.